This 1371-nucleotide ribosomal RNA is filed under the name metagenome. RNAcentral describes it as "bacterial LSU rRNA". It matches the Rfam family "Bacterial large subunit ribosomal RNA", at positions 1554 to 2925 of the family's 2925-position model. The record is from RNAcentral.
GGGAGGCCCGCAAGGGCGAGGCUAAUUUCUGCCGAAGUGACAGGAUCUUCAACCAAGAAAAGCCGGUGCCGGACAAAGUCAGUGCCCGUACCUCAAACUGACACAGGUAGGCGAGAUGAGUAUUCUAAGGCGCUCGAGAGAACGCUUGUGAAGGAACUCUGCAAAUUGGCCCCGUAACUUCGGGAUAAGGGGCGCCCUUGAAGGUGUUAAAGCCUUCGGGGGCCGCAGUGAAAAGGGUCUAGCGACUGUUUACUAAAAACACAGGACUCUGCGAACUCGUAAGAGGAUGUAUAGAGUCUGACGCCUGCCCGGUGUCGGUAAGUUAAGGGAGGGGGUUAGCCGUAAGGUAAAGCCCGCGACCGAAGCUCCGAUAAACGGCGGCCGUAACUAUGACGGUCCUAAGGUAGCGAAGUUCCUUGUCGGGUAAGUUCCGACCUGCAUGAAUGGCGUAACGACUGGACCACUGUCUCCACAAGCGACUCGGUGAAACUGUAGUUGUCGUGAAGAUGCGACAUACCCGCGAUUAGACGGAAAGACCCCGUGAACCUUAACUGUAGCAUAGUGUUGGGUUUAGGCCCAACAUGCGUAGUGUAGCUGGGAGGCUGUGAAGAGGGUGUCUCGGCACUCUCGGAGCCAUCGAUGAAACACCAGCCUUGUUGUGCUUGAAUUCUAACUCCGUUCCCUGAUCGGGACGGUGGACAGCGCUAUGUGGGCAGUUUGAUUGGGGCGAUCUCCUCCUAAAAGGUAACGGAGGAGUCCAAAGGUACCCUCAGCCCGGUUGGCAAUCGGGCAUCGAGCGUAAAGGUAGAAGGGUGCUUGACUGCGAGACCGAUAGGUCGAGCAGGGACGAAAGUCGGGCUUAGUGAUCCGGCGGUUUCCGUAUGGAAGGGCCGUCGCUCAACAGAUAAAAGGUACUCCGGGGAUAACAGGCUUAUCUCCUCUGAGCGUUCAUAGCGGCGAGGAGGUUUGGCACCUCGAUGUCGGCUCAUCGCAUCCUGGGGGUGGAGAAGCUCCCAAGGGUUUGGCUGUUCGCCAAUGAAAGCGGUACGUGAGCUGGGUUUAGACCGUCGUGAGACAGGUCGGUCCCUAUCUGUCGCGGGCGCAGGAGACUUGCGAGGCUCUCUCCCUAGUACGAGAGGAUUGGGAGGGACGUACCUCUGGUGAUCCAGUUAUCGCGCUAGCGGUACAGCUGGGUAGCUACGUACGGAACGGAUAAACGCUGAAGGCAUAUAAGCGUGAAACUCCCCUCUAGACGAGGUCUCCUUGCUUAACAGCUGAAGGCUCCCGGAAGACCACCGGGUAUAUAGGCCGGGUGUGUAAGCGCAGCAAUGCGUUUAGCUGACCGGUACUAACAGCCGAACGCUUGACCAC